Molecule: unclassified non-coding RNA, 773 nt
Filed under: Hevea brasiliensis (rubber tree)
Lineage: Eukaryota; Viridiplantae; Streptophyta; Magnoliopsida; Malpighiales; Euphorbiaceae
Source: RNAcentral
GACAGAUUAAGCUAUAUAAUACAAACAGGAACAAUUAAAGAAGAAAAUUGGAAUAAUCCGAAUUCAAUCAAAGAAGUGUAAAUUAAAUAAUUUACAUUUUUCUGUAAAUUAAUUUCAUGCAUAUUAAGGUUACAAUCUAUAUAUCAUAUAUAUACUAUCUCACACCUAGUAAUUCAUUGUUACAAUAUCACCCUCAAACUACUGAAGCUUACACAGAUAUAAUUAAAGCAUAGAAAUACCCACGCAUGCACAAAUAGCUCAUAAAACUGGGACUGGCAUGAUCAUUUCAGUGGUGGCAUCAAUGGAAUUACUGGAAGUGGAGCGCCGGACGCCGUUCUCCUCCUCGGUCACCGCCGUUUUCUUGAUAAACUCGAUGCAAUCAGCCACUGCUUCGCUGUGGUGAGGGUCAUUAGAUGGGUGGCAAUAAGAUCUAUUUACAGGUGAUCCCCCAUUACUAUUACUGGCUUUGGAGAGAGCCGACAACAUCAUUAAGCGAAAGACAGCCUCCCGGAAACGCUCAAGGAGAGUCAUCGGAGACAAACGGUGGUGAUUAUUCUUGAUGGUGGUGGUGUUGGUGGGUCUCAGCCUGGGGAUGCAGAGAUGGCUGCUCUUCAUUAUUCUCUGAGGGCUUUGUUUCUCCAUGUUUGAUGAUGAGUUUGGGUAGUUAAAUUGGUUCUUGGUUCUUAGUCACUAUAUGAAGGAGACCUGUAUGAGAAUCUAUCAAAUAAGACAAGAUUUGUGGAUGCUUAUUUAUGUUUGGUGUAUAGAGCGAG